Molecule: ribosomal RNA, 477 nt
Filed under: uncultured bacterium
Lineage: Bacteria
Description: partial 16S ribosomal RNA
Rfam family: Bacterial small subunit ribosomal RNA
Source: RNAcentral
GACGAACGCUGGCGGCGUGCUUAACACAUGCGAGUCGAACGGUAAGGCCCCCUCCUGUUUGGUGGGUGUGGCGGAGGGGCGAGCAGGUGGGGAACAAGUGAGUAACCUGCCUGCUUCUUCUGGAUAACCGCAUGAAAGUGAGGCUAAAGCGGGUUAUGCUGGGUCUGUGGCAUGGUGGGGCUGGGGCAGUUAGGGUUGCGGUGGGGGAUGGUCUCGCGGCGUGUCAGGUUGUUGGUGGGGUAAGGGCUGACCAAGGCUUUGACGGGUAGCCGGCCUGAGCGGGUGACAGGCAAGAUUGGGACUGAGAUACGGCCCAGCAGCGGACGGGAGGCAGCAGUGGGGAAUAGUCUACAGUGGGCGGAAGGCGGAAGCAGCAGCGCCGCGUGCGGGAUGACGGUCUUCGGGUUGUGAACCGCUUUUGCCUGGGACGAAGCGGGAGUGACGGUAAUUGGUAAAGAAGCACCGGCUAACUACGUG